CGGCCGGGUCUCGGAGAAGAGGAGAGAGUAGCGGGCUGCUGAAUAAGCUUCCAAAAUGAUGCCCACGCCAGUUAUCCUAUUGAAAGAGGGGACUGAUAGCUCCCAAGGCAUCCCCCAGCUUGUGAGUAACAUCAGUGCCUGCCAGGUGAUUGCUGGAGCUGUAAGAACCACCCUGGGUCCCCGUGGCAUGGACAAGCUUACUGUGGAUGGCAGAGGCAAAGCAACAAUUUCUAAUGAUGGGGCCACAAUUCUGAGACUUCUUGAUGUUGUCCAUCCUGCAGCAAAAACUUUGGUAGACAUUGCCAAAUCCUAAUCAUCAUUCAAGCUUUCCGCACAGCCACCCAGCUGGCAGUUAACAAGAUCGAAGAGAUUGCUGUGACUGUGAAGAAGGCAGAUAAAGUGGAGCAGAGGAAGCUUCUGGAAAAGUGUGCCAUGACUGCUCUGAGCUCCAAGCUGAUCUCCCAGCAGGAAGUUUUCUUUGUUAAGAUGGUGGUGGAUGCAGUGAUGAUGCUCAAUGAUUUGCUGCAGCUUAAAAUGAUUGGAAUCAAGAAGAUACAGGGUGGAGCCCUUGAGGAUUCUCAGCUGGUAGCUGGUGUUGCAUUCAAAAGACUUUCUCUUACGCUGGGUUUGAAAUGCAACCCAAAAAGUACCACAAUCCCAAGAUCGCCCUUUUGAAUGUCGAGCUCGAGUUGAAAGCUGAGAAAGACAAUGCCGAGAUAAGAGUCCACACAGUUGAGGAUUAUCAGGCAACUGUUGAUGCUGAAUGGAACAUUCUCUAUGACAAGUUAGAGAAGAUCCAUCAUUCUGGAGCCAAAGUUGUCUUGUCCAAACUCCCCAUUGGGGAUGUGGCCACCCAGUACUUUGCUGACAGUGACAUGUUCUGUGCUGGCCGAGUACCUGAGGAGGAUCUGAACAGGACAAUGAUGGCCUGUGGAGGCUCAAUCCAGACCAGUGUGAAUACUCUGUCAGCAGAUGUGCUGGGUCGAUGCCAGGUGUUUGAAGAGACCCAGAUUGGAGGCGAGAGGUACAAUUUUUUUACUGGCUGCCCCAAGGCCAAGACAUGCACCUUCAUCCUCCGUGGUGGUGCCCAGCAGUUUACGGAGGAGACAGAGCGGUCCCUGCAUGAUGCCAUCAUGAUCAUCAGGAGAACUAUCAAGAAUGAUUCAGUGGUGGCUGGUGGCGGGGCCAUUGAGAUGGAGCUCUCCAAGUACCUGCGGGAUUACUCAAGGACUGUUCCAGGGAAACAGCAGCUGUUGAUUGGGGCGUAUGCCAAGGCCUUGGAGAUUAUCCCACGCCUGCUGUGUGACAAUGCUGGCUUUGAUGCUACUAACAUUCUCAACAAGCUGUGGGCUCGGCAUGCCCAGGGGGGCACAUGGUAUGGGGUGGACAUCAACAACGAGGACAUUGCUGACAACUUUGAGGCCUUCGUGUGGGAGCCAGCUAUGGUGCAGAUCAAUGCACUCACAGCAGCCUCUGAGGCUGCGUGCCUGAUCAUGUCUGUAGAUGAAACCAUCAAGAACCCCCGCUCGACUGUGGAUGCUCCCCCAGCAGCAGGCAGGGGCCGUAGUCAUGGCCGCCCGCACUGA
Molecule: RNA transcript, 1586 nt
Organism: Rhinopithecus roxellana (golden snub-nosed monkey)
Lineage: Eukaryota; Metazoa; Chordata; Mammalia; Primates; Cercopithecidae
Gene name: T-complex protein 1 subunit eta pseudogene
Exons: 1
Source: RefSeq, a predicted model, not a curated record